This 530-nucleotide ribosomal RNA is filed under the name Subcancilla erythrogramma. RNAcentral's name for it is "partial 16S ribosomal RNA". It matches the Rfam family "Bacterial large subunit ribosomal RNA", at positions 1814 to 2613 of the family's 2925-position model. The record is from RNAcentral. Lineage: Eukaryota; Metazoa; Mollusca; Gastropoda; Neogastropoda; Mitridae.
CAUCGCUCCUUGUGUAAAAUAGAUAGGGAGUCGGACCUGCCCAGUGAAUUUUCAACGGCCGCGGUACUCUGACCGUGCAAAGGUAGCAUAAUAAUUUGCCUUAUAAUUGAAGGCUAGUAUGAAUGGUUUGACGAGAAUAAAGCUGUCUCUUUACAAUUCUAUAGAAAUUUAUUUAUGGAUGAAAAAGUCCAUAUAUAAUUAAUAGACAAGAAGACCCUAUCGAGCUUAAAAAAAUUUAGUAGAUUUAAAACCUAUUAUGCUUUAUAAUGUCACCUACUAAGAAUUUUAGUUGGGGCGACUAAGGAACAACUAAAGCUUCCUUAAUUAUCUAUUUUACUAAUAAGUAUUGAUCCAAGAAUAUCUUGAUUAAUAAAAUUAGUUACCGUAGGGAUAACAGCAUUAUCUUUUUUAAGAGCUCUUAUCGAAAAAAAGGUUUGUGACCUCGAUGUUGGACCAGAAUGUCCUGAAGAUGCAGCAGUCUUUAAGGGUUGGUCUGUUCGACCAUUAAUAUUCUACGUGAUCUGAGUUCA